CUGGGAGCCCUGGGGAAUGUGUCAGCACAAACUAUGGCAGGAAAGCAGAAACCCUGCAGAGAUGCAGCAGCACUGUGAGCACAGCAAAUACCAUCCAGGAGAGGAGCAGGGCCCCAAAAUACGCCAGAGCAGCCUGAGCACUCAGACUUGUGAGGGCUGUCAUGGAUGUGACAGUGAGAGCAGGAGGAGAGGAAGCACAUCAAGUGAGGCGACUGCUCAAGGCUGUCCUGGGCUUUGCAGUGAAGAUGUUCCCCUGUGUCCUGUCUGCAGAGGAGAGCAGCAAUGCCUUCAUAUCUUCCUAAACCCUCUGCUUCAGCUCUGCGUGUGUCCCUUUGCAUUCAUUUCACUAAGCUGCCUAGAAAGAUUCAGCGAA
This is a non-coding RNA of Taeniopygia guttata (zebra finch), 373 nucleotides long. The record is from RefSeq and is a predicted model, not a curated record. NCBI's taxonomy places the organism in Eukaryota, Metazoa, Chordata, Aves, Passeriformes, Estrildidae.